This 29-nucleotide non-coding RNA is filed under the name Rattus norvegicus (Norway rat). Lineage: Eukaryota; Metazoa; Chordata; Mammalia; Rodentia; Muridae. The record is from RNAcentral.
UGAUUCCACUGGCUUUGACUACACUCAUU